UUUCACAACCGUUUAUGAUUAAAAUGUCUCCACGUGUGAGCUGUAUUCAUUUAAUGUAAUGGAUUGAGGAAAAAUUUGUUCAUGGUUUUUUCCAUGGAGAUUUUAAUGGAAAAGUAGGAAAGACUUCAAUAAAAAAAAUGACUUAUUGAAGCAGAUGAAGAAUCACGAUUUCAUCACACUGAGAUCCUGCAAGAAUCAAGUGCUGCACAUCGAAUGUUUCAUUCAAGAUACUUAGCACGUUUUCUAAAGACAUCUCUACCUUGAAGUAUAUAUCUCAACUGACUUGAAAUCUGAAGGCUGAGAAGCUUAAAUCCAACAAAUAGGAAUUAAUAAAGUAUCAAAUUGGGAAGAAGUCCAGAAAUCCAUUCUUGGUAUGG
Molecule: long non-coding RNA, 377 nt
Organism: Gymnogyps californianus (California condor)
Lineage: Eukaryota; Metazoa; Chordata; Aves; Accipitriformes; Cathartidae
Exons: 3
Source: RefSeq, a predicted model, not a curated record